GCUGACGAGUGGCGGACGGGUGAGUAAGGUCUGGGAAACUGCCCGAUGCGGGGGAUAACCACUGGAAACGGUGGCUAAUACCGCAUAAUGUCGCAAGACCAAGAGGGGGACCUUAGGGCCUCUUGCCAUCGGAUGUGCCCAGAUGGGAUUAGCUAGUAGGUGGGGUAAAGGCUCACCUAGGCGACGAUCUCUAGCUGGUCUGAGAGGAUGACCAGCCACACUGGAACUGAGACACGGUCCAG
This 242-nucleotide ribosomal RNA is filed under the name uncultured bacterium. Its description in RNAcentral is "partial 16S ribosomal RNA". It matches the Rfam family "Bacterial small subunit ribosomal RNA", at positions 87 to 334 of the family's 1533-position model. The record is from RNAcentral.